RNAcentral lists this ribosomal RNA (253 nucleotides) under uncultured bacterium. Its description in RNAcentral is "partial 16S ribosomal RNA". It matches the Rfam family "Bacterial small subunit ribosomal RNA", at positions 524 to 776 of the family's 1533-position model. The record is from RNAcentral.
UACGUAGGGGGCAAGCGUUGUCCGGAUUUAUUGGGCGUAAAGAGCUCGUAGGCGGUUUGUCGCGUCUGCUGUGAAAACGCGAGGCUCAACCUCGCGCCUGCAGUGGGUACGGGCAGACUAGAGUGCGGUAGGGGAGAUUGGAAUUCCUGGUGUAGCGGUGGAAUGCGCAGAUAUCAGGAGGAACACCGAUGGCGAAGGCAGAUCUCUGGGCAGUAACUGACGCUGAGGAGCGAAAGCGUGGGGAGAGAACAGG